GCCGGGUGCGGUGGCAUGUGCCUGUAAUCCAAGUCACUGGGAGGCUGAGGUUGGUGGAUCAAGUGCGCUGAGGAGCUCUGGGCUGCAGCACGCUAUGUCGAACGGGUGUCCACGCUAAGUUCUGUAUCGAUAUGGUGUUCCUGGGGGAGCCCGGGACCACCAGGUUGUCUAAGGAGGGGUGAACCGGCCCAGGUCGGAAACGAAGCAGGUCAAAUCCCCGUGCUGUCCAGUAGUGGGAUAAUACCUGUGAGUAGAUGCUGCAGUGCAGCCUUGGCAAAACAUUGAGACCUAAUCUUUU
This 298-nucleotide signal recognition particle RNA is filed under the name Oncorhynchus mykiss (rainbow trout). Its description in RNAcentral is "Metazoan signal recognition particle RNA (ENSOMYG00000068468.1)". It matches the Rfam family "Metazoan signal recognition particle RNA". Rfam says of the family: The signal recognition particle (SRP) is a universally conserved ribonucleoprotein. It is involved in the co-translational targeting of proteins to membranes. The record is from RNAcentral. Lineage: Eukaryota; Metazoa; Chordata; Actinopteri; Salmoniformes; Salmonidae.